This 497-nucleotide ribosomal RNA is filed under the name uncultured bacterium. RNAcentral's name for it is "partial 16S ribosomal RNA". It matches the Rfam family "Bacterial small subunit ribosomal RNA", at positions 28 to 507 of the family's 1533-position model. The record is from RNAcentral.
GAUGAACGCUGGCGGCGUGCCUAAUACAUGCAAGUCGAGCGAACAGACGAGGAGCUUGCUCCUCUGACGUUAGCGGCGGACGGGUGAGUAACACGUGGAUAACCUACCUAUAAGACUGGGAUAACUUCGGGAAACCGGAGCUAAUACCGGAUAAUAUAUUGAACCGCAUGGUUCAAUAGUGAAAGACGGUUUUGCUGUCACUUAUAGAUGGAUCCGCGCCGCAUUAGCUAGUUGGUAAGGUAACGGCUUACCAAGGCGACGAUGCGUAGCCGACCUGAGAGGGUGAUCGGCCACAAUGGAACUGAGACACGGUCCAGACUCCUACGGGAGGCAGCAGUAGGGAAUCUUCCGCAAUGGGCGAAAGCUUGACGGAGCAACGCCGCGUGAGUGAUGAAGGUCUUCGGAUCGUAAAACUCUGUUAUUAGGGAAGAACAAAUGUGUAAGUAACUAUGCACGUCUUGACGGUACCUAAUCAGAAAGCCACGGCUAACUACGUG